GCGGCAGUGGCGGAAUCGGUAGACGCGCAACGUUGAGGGCGUUGUGGGGGAAACCCCGUGGAGGUUCAAGUCCUCUCUGCCGCACCA
RNAcentral lists this transfer RNA (87 nucleotides) under Alphaproteobacteria bacterium. Its description in RNAcentral is "tRNA-Leu". It matches the Rfam family "tRNA". From Rfam's summary of the family: Transfer RNA (tRNA) molecules are approximately 80 nucleotides in length. Their secondary structure includes four short double-helical elements and three loops (D, anti-codon, and T loops). Further hydrogen bonds mediate the characteristic L-shaped molecular structure. tRNAs have two regions of fundamental functional importance: the anti-codon, which is responsible for specific mRNA codon recognition, and the 3' end, to which the tRNAs corresponding amino acid is attached (by aminoacyl-tRNA synthetases). tRNAs cope with the degeneracy of the genetic code in two manners: having more than one tRNA (with a specific anti-codon) for a particular amino acid; and 'wobble' base-pairing, i.e. permitting non-standard base-pairing at the 3rd anti-codon position. Lineage: Bacteria; Pseudomonadati; Pseudomonadota; Alphaproteobacteria. The record is from RNAcentral.